UACGUAGGGGGCAAGCGUUGUCCGGAUUUACUGGGCGUAAAGAGCGCGUAGGCGGAAGCUUAAGUGUGGCCUGAAAGCCCCCGGCUCAACCGGGGAGGGUGGCUGCAAACUGGGUUUCUUGAGGGCGAUAGAGGAGGGUGGAAUUCCUGGUGUAGCGGUGAAAUGCGUAGAUAUCAGGAGGAACACCGGUGGCGAAGGCGGCAUCCUGGACCGAUACUGACACUGAGGAGCGAAAGCCAGGGGAGCAAACGGG
RNAcentral lists this ribosomal RNA (253 nucleotides) under uncultured bacterium. RNAcentral describes it as "partial 16S ribosomal RNA". It matches the Rfam family "Bacterial small subunit ribosomal RNA", at positions 524 to 776 of the family's 1533-position model. The record is from RNAcentral.